Molecule: small nuclear RNA, 163 nt
Filed under: Gambusia affinis (western mosquitofish)
Lineage: Eukaryota; Metazoa; Chordata; Actinopteri; Cyprinodontiformes; Poeciliidae
Description: U1 spliceosomal RNA (ENSGAFG00000019832.1)
Rfam family: U1 spliceosomal RNA
About the family: U1 is a small nuclear RNA (snRNA) component of the spliceosome (involved in pre-mRNA splicing). Its 5' end forms complementary base pairs with the 5' splice junction, thus defining the 5' donor site of an intron. There are significant differences in sequence and secondary structure between metazoan and yeast U1 snRNAs, the latter being much longer (568 nucleotides as compared to 164 nucleotides in human).
Source: Rfam by way of RNAcentral
AUACUUACCUGGCAGGUGCGACUCCAUGGUCCCGAAGGUGGAUCGCACAGAGUGAGGAUCAGCCAUUGCACCACGGCGAUCUGACCUCUGUGAAUUCUCCUAAAGGGAGAAUCUCAACUGCACAAUUUAUGGUAGUGGGGGACUGCGUUCGCGCUCUCCCCUG